UAUGUUUAUUCAAAAUUCAAAGAUAAAGCAUUCGAGGAGAUUAAGUCGAACGAACUAAAUGACAGACAGUCACUGAAUUACGCUAGACAUCUUUCGCUGCAAUCAUAGAAAGUAACCCUGAAUUUUUAAACUUCAUUUUUCAAGAGCGUCGAUUCGAAACAACAAGAUCAACAAAACUCUCCCUUUUCAAAAGUACAGGAAAUACCCCUGUAACUUUUCUUCACUGGCCCAAGUUAACAUACCAUUG
Bombus impatiens (common eastern bumble bee) is the source of this 247-nucleotide long non-coding RNA. RefSeq lists it as uncharacterized. The transcript is spliced from 2 exons. NCBI's taxonomy places the organism in Eukaryota, Metazoa, Arthropoda, Insecta, Hymenoptera, Apidae. The record is from RefSeq and is a predicted model, not a curated record.